RNAcentral lists this long non-coding RNA (208 nucleotides) under Hordeum vulgare. RNAcentral describes it as "long non-coding RNA (HVUL_LNC004976)". The record is from RNAcentral. Lineage: Eukaryota; Viridiplantae; Streptophyta; Magnoliopsida; Poales; Poaceae.
GACGAAUGCGAUGUGACCGACUCUGACCACCAUUUGCUCUGGGCUAUUUCUAGUUGUUUCGGCCGUUUGGCCAAUGCAAUUCUGCACCCUCUCUCUCUCAAAAAAAAAAAAAAUCAAUUCUACACUUACACACAGGAGGAAAUGCACGUUCCUAGCUCAGCAUUGCCGAGAAGUAGAUAAAUCUUUCAGCGGACGGUAACUGACAGAC